AGACUAAUAAGUUAGGGUCAGUUACCUCAAAACCUAUUUAAGUGUCUCUUUCUGUAACCUUCUUUGUAAUUCCAGUAGAGAAAACUACUACUACUACUUCUUCUUCUUCUUCUCUGUUUGAUCAUCUGCACCUGAAUUUUUCUCUGAUACAUCUUUACUUUCUAAAGCUCCUCCAAAAAAAAUAUGCUGCUUAAAUAUCUAGCAGCCUUUCUUCUGGUUCUGGGUUUUGCAACUGCUGAGGAUCCUUACAGAUUUUUCGACUGGAACGUAACCUACGGGGACAUAUAUCCACUCGGUGUUCGUCAACAGGGAAUUCUUAUCAAUGGCCAGUUUCCGGGGCCUGAAAUCUACUCCGUGACCAAUGACAACCUCAUUAUCAAUGUUCAUAACAGCUUGCCGGAGCCUUUCCUUAUUUCAUGGAAUGGAGUUCAACAGAGGAGGAAUUCAUACCAAGAAUCCCAGUCCCAUUCCCAGACCCAGCUGGUGAUUACUCCAUUCUCAUUGGAGAUUGGUACAAGACUGACCACAAGAUAUUGAAGGGCAUUUUAGAUCGUGGUCACAGGCUUCCCUACCCAGAUGGCAUUAUAAUCAAUGGACGUGGACCAAAUGGAACAUAUUUCACAUUUGACCAAGGUAAAACUUACAGGCUUAGGAUUUCAAAUGUUGGGCUCCAGAACUCUCUCAACUUCAGGAUCCAGGGCCACAAAUUGAAGCUGGUUGAAGUUGAAGGGACCCACACCAUCCAGACCACCUAUGAUUCACUUGACAUCCAUGUGGGCCAGUCUUAUUCUGUGCUCGUCACAGCAGAUCAGGCCCCUCAGGACUAUUACAUUGCUGUCUCAACCCGUUUUACCAGCCAGGUCCUCACAAGCACUGCCGUCUUUCACUACAGCAACUCGGCCCGUCAAGUUUCCGGCCCAAUUCCCGCUGGGCCCACAACCCAAACCGGUUGGUCUCUUAGCCAGGCUCUUUCUAUUAGGACAAACCUAACGGCAAGUGGACCUAGGCCAAACCCACAAGGCUCCUACCACUAUGGUCUUGUAAAUGUGAGCAGGACAAUCAAGCUAGAGAGCUCAGCAGCUCAAGUUAGUGGAAAACAGAGAUAUGCAGUGAACAGUGUGUCCUUUAUCCCUGCAGACACACCAUUGAAGCUUGCAGACUACUUCAAGAUUGGUGGGGUUUUUAAAGCUGGAAGCAUCUCAGAUAACCCUACUGGCCAAAAGAUGUACCUUGACACUUAAGUCAUGGGUGCUGAUUUCAGAGCCUUUGUGGAGAUUGUGUUUCAGAACCAUGAGAACAUUUUGCAGAGCUGGCACUUGGAUGGAUACGCCUUUUGGGUUGUUGGAAUGGAUGGAGGCAAAUGGACACCAGCAAGCCGAAACCAAUACAACCUUAGAGAUGCAGUCUCAAGAAGCACCACCCAGGUUUAUCCCAAGUCAUGGACAGCUAUAUACAUAGCACUAGACAAUGUGGGUAUGUGGAAUUUGAGGAGUGAGUUUUGGGCAAGGCAAUACCUUGGACAACAAUUUUACCUACGAGUCUACUCACCUGUGGAGUCUGCUAGGGAUGAGUACCCAAUUCCCAGAAAUGCCCUUCUUUGUGGUAGGGCUGCAGGCAGAAGCACCAGACCUUAAUGAACAAGCUGAUUCAGAAGAUUUAUACAAAAUUAUUAAUUUAACCAUUGCAAUUAUACAUGAGUGUCCCAUUCUUUGCUACCAAAAUUUUUCUAUUGAAAUUUGUAUACUUUUGGCAAUAAAAUGCAGCUUUCAUUCA
Non-coding RNA from Prunus avium (sweet cherry), 1773 nucleotides. The record is from RefSeq and is a predicted model, not a curated record. NCBI's taxonomy places the organism in Eukaryota, Viridiplantae, Streptophyta, Magnoliopsida, Rosales, Rosaceae.